UAGUCCACGCCGUAAACGAUGCUCACUCGCUGCUUGCGAUACAUUGUAAGUGGCCAAGCGAAAGUCUUAAGUGAGCCACCUGGGGAGUACGAUCGCAAGGUUGAAACUCAAAGGAAUUGACGGGGGCCCGCACAAGCGGAGGAACAUGUGGUUUAAUUCGAUGAUACGCGAGGAACCUUACCUGGGCUUAAAUGUAGAUUGCAUGUUGUGGAAACACACUUCCCUUCGGGGCUAUUUACAAGGUGCUGCAUGGUUGUCGUCAGCUCGUGCCGUGAGGUGUCGGGUUAAGUCCCAUAACGAGCGCAACCCUUAUCGCUAGUUGCCAGCGGGUAAUGCCGGGGACUCUAGCGGGACUGCCACCGUAAGGUGAGAGGAAGGUGGGGAUGACGUCAAAUCAGCACGGCCCUUAUGUCCAGGGCUACACACGUGUUACAAUGGCCGAUACAAAGGGCAGCUACCAGGUGACUGGAUGCUAAUCUCUAAAGUCGGUCUCAGUUCGGAUCG
This 504-nucleotide ribosomal RNA is filed under the name uncultured bacterium. Its description in RNAcentral is "bacterial SSU rRNA". It matches the Rfam family "Bacterial small subunit ribosomal RNA", at positions 791 to 1300 of the family's 1533-position model. The record is from RNAcentral.